AGUGAACGCUGGCGGUAGGCCUAACACAUGCAAGUCGAACGGCAGCACAGUAAGGGCUUGCUCUUACGGGUGGCGAGUGGCGGACGGGUGAGGAAUACAUCGGAAUCUACUUUUUCGUGGGGGAUAACGUAGGGAAACUUACGCUAAUACCGCAUACGACCUACGGGUGAAAGCAGGGGAUCUUCGGACCUUGCGCGAUUGAAUGAGCCGAUGUCGGAUUAGCUAGUUGGCGGGGUAAAGGCCCACCAAGGCGACGAUCCGUAGCUGGUCUGAGAGGGUGGAUCGACACCCUGGAAGUGAGGAACAGCCCCGACUCCUGCGGGGAGACACGGUCGGGAAUAUUGGACAAUGGGCGCAAGCCUGAUCCAGCCAUACCGCGUGGGUGAAGAAGGCCUUCGGGUGGUAAAGCCCUUUUGUUGGGAAAGAAAAGCAGCAGGUUAAUACCCCGCUGUUCUGACGGUACCCAAAGAAUAAGCACCGGCUAACUUCGUG
RNAcentral lists this ribosomal RNA (492 nucleotides) under uncultured bacterium. RNAcentral describes it as "partial 16S ribosomal RNA". It matches the Rfam family "Bacterial small subunit ribosomal RNA", at positions 29 to 507 of the family's 1533-position model. The record is from RNAcentral.